UCUCCGUAGGUGAACCUGCGGAGGGAUCAUUACGGAGUUCUCGCCCUCGCGGGUAGAUCUCCCACCCACUGUUAUCGUUACUGUGUUGCUUUGGCGGGCCGCCGGGCCCCGCUCGGCCGCCGGCUCCGGCUGGCGCGCGCCCGCCAGAGGCCCAGCAAACUCUGAAUGUUAGUGUCGUCUGAGUACUAUAUAAUAGUUAAAACUUUCAACAACGGAUCUCUUGGUUCUG
This 229-nucleotide unclassified non-coding RNA is filed under the name plant metagenome. RNAcentral describes it as "partial contains small subunit ribosomal RNA, internal transcribed spacer 1, and 5.8S ribosomal RNA". The record is from RNAcentral.